CAAAGGGUUGAGGCGUUCAUCAAGCAAUUUAAUGAGGAGAUGAGGUUGCAAAGGCAAGAGUCACUCAACCAGAGUAUGGAGAUGAUUAAUCACGAGGUCUAGACUAUACAGAUCAUUAAUUCCUGUUGUAUAGAAAUAAGUCAAUAACCUUCACAGAAGACUUACAGAACUCUCACACAGGGUGAACUUCAUGUGAAUAUUUUAUUGAAAAAAAAAUAAAAAAAAAUACCUGCUGUGCCCCAUCUAGAGGGAUUCUGUGACCCCUCAUGCUGUACAUAUAGUAUGCUUGCUAUACAGAUUUAGAUUGUGAUUUACUUGUUAAUAUAAAAAUAUCAACAUAGAAAAUUGGAAAAAAGAAAAAGUAGUAGCUGCAAAAACUUUAAAAAAGCUUGAAAUAGUUUUUAGGGAACUACUUUUAGUUUGUGUUUCCAAAUUUGUCAGGCCUCACCGUCGAGGCUCUAUUUCAAGCAUAUGUGGCAACCACUUGGAUGCAUCAAUCCAGGGAAAAGUCAAAAGGUCGACAGAGUUAAAUGAUUGAAGUCAACUCUAUUGUUGAAAUUCCUUUACAAUCGAGGUCAUUCAUCCCGAAUUCCCUCCUUCAAAGGGUCUCGGAUUAGAAGCAUUUCCCAAAGAGAUCGUAGUGGUUAAUGAAUGAUUGAUAUCACCACUUGCAAUCCAAUUAAGUCGAAUCUUGUCAAUCUAAUUAAUUAUGUACAUUGACACACUCGAAAGGAUAGCUCCUCUUCCCCCACACACUCGAAUGCACUACACUGUAAGUGGACAAUGGGACAGUCACGAUAAGACAUCCUAGAGAGUCGAAUGCAACCACGUACGUUUCAUCCAAUGGCCAAGAUCAAUGCUAUAUUACUAUAAACAACAAACAUUUUAGCACUUUGAAUUUAAUGCAACUCUUUACACAAAUAAAACUAUAUUCUACUCUUUCUUUUGUUCAUAUUCAAACUUGUUUGAGCUUAGAUAACAUUGUUUUAGUUAAGUUAUUUAUGAUUGAUUCUUAAUGUGCAAUCACCCAUGAAUUUAUGACCAGUAUUUGAACAUCUUUGUCUCGUGUCUUAAAGUAUCUCCCACGUUCAUGUGCAGUUAUUCCUUUGAAUUGCAUUUUCGGUUAAAAAUGUUGAAAUUUGCUCGUCUAGACAUGAGUGGACCCGAGAUCUGUUAUCCACGUCAUCCCUACAAAAAGUGAAUUUAUAAAAUGGAGACUUAAUUUUUUGGCUAAUUAUUUGAUUUAUGUUGACUAGUCUUAUUUUUUGGCUAAUGAUUAUUUUAAUAUACAUUUUCUUUAUAAGCGGCACAUUUUCAUAAUUUUAAAUUUUGAAUAAGUCCUUUGAUACGAACUAUAUAGUUUAUGGAUUUUACAAAUUUUUUACAAUAUAUUUUGUUAAUUUUUAUUAAAAUUUAUUAAAAAUCUAAUUUUAAUUUUCAAGCAAACAAGAGGAAAAUAUGAUUUCUAGAAGAUUAAAAGGUCAAUUGCAUUUUUCAGGUGCAAAGGUACCUAAAGUGACAAGACAGAAACGGCAAGAGACAUUAGAGGAUACUUGGAAGAUAAUAAUGGAAGCGCGUCAAGUGCCACCCACAAAGUCAGAUACGUGGCAACACAGUGGGCAUCAGUUGACCACAAGUAGACCGGAUCAUGUACCAAAAUCGAAGACCUCCAAGAACCGUGUGAACUAUGAGUCCCAAUUCGAAGCUCCAUUGAGAUUGUCCUCAAGUACGAAGAUUUCAAAAGAGUCGUCGUUGAGUAAAGAUGAGCUGAAUCAAAGGGUUGAGGCGUUCAUCAAGCAAUUUAAUGAGGAGAUGAGGUUGCAAAGGCAAGAGUCACUCAACCAGAGUAUGGAGAUGAUUAAUCACGAGGUCUAGACUAUACAGAUCAUUAAUUCCUGUUGUAUAGAAAUAAGUCAAUAACCUUCACAGAAGACUUACAGAACUCUCACACAGGGUGAACUUCAUGUGAAUAUUUUAUUGAAAAAAAAAUAAAAAAAAAUACCUGCUGUGCCCCAUCUAGAGGGAUUCUGUGACCCCUCAUGCUGUACAUAUAGUAUGCUUGCUAUACAGAUUUAGAUUGUGAUUUACUUGUUAAUAUAAAAAUAUCAACAUAGAAAAUUGGAAAAAAGAAAAAGUAGUAGCUGCAAAAACUUUAAAAAAGCUUGAAAUAGUUUUUAGGGAACUACUUUUAGUUUGUGUUUCCAAAUUUGUCAGGCCUCACCGUCGAGGCUCUAUUUCAAGCAUAUGUGGCAACCACUUGGAUGCAUCAAUCCAGGGAAAAGUCAAAAGGUCGACAGAGUUAAAUGAUUGAAGUCAACUCUAUUGUUGAAAUUCCUUUACAAUCGAGGUCAUUCAUCCCGAAUUCCCUCCUUCAAAGGGUCUCGGAUUAGAAGCAUUUCCCAAAGAGAUCGUAGUGGUUAAUGAAUGAUUGAUAUCACCACUUGCAAUCCAAUUAAGUCGAAUCUUGUCAAUCUAAUUAAUUAUGUACAUUGACACACUCGAAAGGAUAGCUCCUCUUCCCCCACACACUCGAAUGCACUACACUGUAAGUGGACAAUGGGACAGUCACGAUAAGACAUCCUAGAGAGUCGAAUGCAACCACGUACGUUUCAUCCAAUGGCCAAG
This 2625-nucleotide long non-coding RNA is filed under the name Olea europaea (common olive). RNAcentral's name for it is "long non-coding RNA (OEUR_LNC008006)". The record is from RNAcentral. Lineage: Eukaryota; Viridiplantae; Streptophyta; Magnoliopsida; Lamiales; Oleaceae.